This 4685-nucleotide long non-coding RNA is filed under the name Sus scrofa (pig). RNAcentral's name for it is "lncRNA (ENSSSCG00005013171.1)". Lineage: Eukaryota; Metazoa; Chordata; Mammalia; Artiodactyla; Suidae. The record is from RNAcentral.
GUCUUUUUAGGGCCGCACCCGCGGCAUAUGAAGGUUCCCAGGCUAGGGGUCUAAUCGUAGCGGUACCCGCCGGCGUACACCACAGUCACAGCCACAGCCACGCCAGAUCUGAGCCGCAUCUGCGAUCUAUAACCACAGAUCUCGGCAGUGCCAGAUUCCCAACCCACUGAGCGAGGCCAGGGGUCGAACCCGCAACCUCAUGGUUCCUAGUUGGAUUCGUUUCUGUUGCACCAUAAGAGGAAUUCCUCCUCCCAAAUCAAAUCCCUCUCCCAAACUGCCCCAUUUCAGUGAAAGGCAACAAUUAAUUAGUUAAGCAAAAAACCUGAGUUAACCCUUGAUUCCUUCUUCCUUCUUUCCCCAUACCCAAAUCUUCAGCAAGCCCAGUGGAUUCUAUAUCAAAAUGAAUCCCAAAUGGUCUACUCUCCAUAUCCACUGCCUUUACUUUACUCCAAACACCCAUCAUUUCUCUCCUGAACUACUAUAACUCGUUCUCUUGAUGAUACCUACACUUAAAAUCUGUUCUCCAAAAAGUAAACAGAGUAGUUUUUUAAAUGUAAAUAAUUUAUGUUACUCUCCUGCUCAAGUUCUCUGAAGGCCUUCCAUUGGACAUAGGAUAAAAUCCUAUGUAGAAUCAGAAACAUUUGAGAACAUUAAGAAAAGAAGCCUUACAGUUCAUAAGCUAAAAUCCCUGUCUGAACAUACUUUAGGAAAAGAAGACCCCGUCUAUCUCGUCAACUUCACCUCUUUCCAAUCUCCUACUGGUUUUUUUCUCCAAUCACAAUGCUCUUUCUGUUCCUUGAAAAUACUGAUCUUUCUCAUCACAAGCCUUUGUCCCAUGUCUCUUAUGUCUGGAAUGCUCCUUCUCUGUUCUUCAUGUAACUGGCUCUUUCUUUUACUUUGGAUUCACCUAAAACUUCACCUCCUAAAUAAGGCCUUCUUUGAUUAUCUACUUAUUUUCUUCAUACCAUUUACCACUGUGUUAAAUUAUCUUCUUCUUGUAUGUUUAUUUAUGAUAUUUCACACCUCCCUGAAGGAAUAGAAGCUCCUUCCAUAAGAUAAAGACAAUCUGUCUGUCUUCUUCACAGAUAUAAUGUUAGCGUCUAUAUCAGUAUCUGGAAUACAGUAUAUGUAUUAUAUUAUUUAAAUGACUAAACCAAAUGAAGAGGGUAUCCCUUGAUAGUACGGAUAAAUUCAAAACUUAUUAAAAAACUAUAUGGCCUAUAUUAAAAGAAUGAAAUCAGGUGUUUAAACCUUAAUUUCAAAGAGCAGAGCAUUUUUUUUAAAAAAUCACUGCAUGGACGAUGAUUGUUAUCCUUUUAUUUUAAAGCCAACAAUUUCUUGUCACCUAACUAGGUAGUGACAAAUGAUUCCAGAUAGCCACGUCUUUGAUUUCUUAUUCGACUCAUUCAGUGGCAAAGGGAGGAAUGAAUCGAAGCUUUCUCACUUUCUAGUGAUCUUUCUGCUACUUCAUCCUCCUACACAUAAAAACAUAUAUAACAUAUAUCUAAUGGUUAAGCUAUUUCCAACAUAUCCAGCUACUUGAAUAUAUUAUUAUACAAUCUUUUAUAUAAAUACAUAAAAUUUUAACUUAUUAAAAUCAUUUGUAAGAAUCACAACUAUUUGUAUCUUCCCACAAGUUAGGUGCUAUGUUAAGUGUUAUAAUAACUGAAAUAAGGAAACAGAGUUUUUGUUAUCUUGGAGCUCACAUCCUAAGAAAAGUUUUACUGAUUUGGAUACAAUGUCUGUGCUGUGUGUUAUUAGCUAGAUCUUAUUUUAGGCUGUAACAGUUUUUUUCUCUUAUGGACUCAGAACCAGAAAGUCACAAAUUGUAUUUGUUUUAAGUGAACUUACUACUAAGGAUUCCUGCUCCAAAUAAUUCUAGUUCUAAACAAAGCAGCACAAUCCUUUUACUCUUCAUAUGAAAGCAUACAAUAUUUUUCAGAGUUUAUAUUUUGACAUCUUAAGAACAAACUUUUGGAGUUCCAGUUGUGGCACUGCGGAAAUAAAUCCAACUAGUAACCAUGAGGUUGUGGGUUCAAUCCCCACCCUCGCUCAGUGGGUUAAGGAUCUGGCACUGCCAUGAACUGUGGCGUAGGUUGCAGAUGCAGCUAGAUCUGGCGUUGCUGUGGCUGUGGUGUAGGUCAGCGGCUACAGUUCCGAUUGGACCUCUAGCCUGGGAACCUCCAUAUGCCAAGGGGGCAGCCCUAAAAAAAAAAAAAAGAACUAACUUUUAUCAUAACUAGCAUUUCCACAUAGGUGACUCCAACAAUCAGUUCCUCAUCCUUGUUUUUCUCAAAACGAUCCACAGCAUUAAACAAGACUGAUUAACCUCUUCUCUACAACUGGCUUCCAGGAUACCCCUCUCCUUUGGUAUCUCAACGGCACUUGUCGGUAUCUUGUGUUGGUUCCUCCUCAUCCUCUCAACCUAUAAACAUUAGAAUGUCCUAGGACUCAGACCUCUUCUCUGUCUGUACUCACUUUCUAGUAGAAACUAGAUUAUUUCACCUAGUCUCAUAUUUUAAUGCUACCUAAAUGCUCUCGAUGUUCAAAUUCCAUCUCCAACUUGGACUUUUUCUUUAACUCCAGAGAUUUGUAUAUCCAGUUGCCUAUUUGGCAUCUCCACUUGGAUAUGUAAUAAGCACCUCAAAUUAAGUUGAUUAAAAUUGAACUCCUGAAUGUGUCCCAUCUCCUCAGUCUUCACCAUUUCAGUAAAUGGCAACUGCAUCCUUCCAAAUACUCAAGCCAAAACCUCUGGAGUCUUCCAUGACUUUUCUUUCACUCAAUCUGACAUUCAACCCAUCAGAAAAUCCCAUUACUCUAUCUUUCCAGAAUUCAACCAUUUUUUAUUCCCUCCACAUUAACAAGCCCCUAUUAUCCCUUGGUUGGGUUGAAGCCUUCUAGCUCCUAGUUCAUCUCUGCCCCCUUAACAGACAGUUCUCUUAGCAAUGAGGGUGAUCCAUUUAACUUUUAAGCCUGAUUAUAUCACUCUUAUAUCACUAUUUUACUUACAAAACAAAAACAAACGAACAAAAACAAACAAACAAAAAAAACCAACCCUGAUGAUUUCCCAGGCUAUUACUCUGACCUACAAGAGUCUUAUGUGAUCUAGUCCUUUCUCUCUACACAUAGUCCUUUCUCCCAAAUAUUAACACUGCUUGCUCCCUGCUUAAAUAUCUCAUCCUUGACUACAACAUAUAAAAUAGAAAUAACCCUUUCCUAUUUUUCUUCCUCUGCUUUUCUUCAUAGCAUUCACUACCUGACCAAAAAAUGUAUUUAUUGAUUAUUUUAUUGUCUUUCUCGCUCUCUCUCCCAAGAAUGUGAGCUCACUGAAAGCAAGGAUUUCUGGAUGUUUGGUUCACAGCUUUUUUUUUUUUUUUUUUUUUUUUUUUUUUUUUUUGCUUUUUAGGACCACACCUGCAGCCCAUUGAAGUUCCCAGGCUAGGGGUUGAAUUGGAGCUACAGCUACCAGCCCACACCACAGGCACAACCACGAGGGAUCUAAGCCAUGUCUGCAACUACACCACAGCUCACAACAAUGCUGGAUCCUUAACCCACUGAGCAUGGACAGGCAUCGAACCCACAUCCUCUUGGAUCCUAGUCGGGAUUGUUAACCACUAAGCCACGAAGGGAACUCCCCAGGUAAUAUUUUUUUAGAAUAAAUUCCUUGCUCUUUGGAAAAUAUAAAUGAUCAGUUUCAAAAUAUCUUCUAUCUUAAAACAAAAACUAAAAUUAAAAAUAUAGAGGGCCCAAUACAAAUUAUUCCACACCCAUCACAAGUUACCACUAUAGUAAACAAGACAUCAAGGGUUUCAUUGUGUGAUACUGUGAUAUACACUAUUCAAACUUAAAAGACAAGACUGCUUCUGUCACAGCUGUCUCCCAAAUUUUUGAGGAACACUGAAAAAUAGAAACAGAGAAAACAGAAAGGCAGGGAAUUUUAAUAAACUGUUUUCAUAUAACUAAAAAUAGUUAUCCUAAAAUAUCUUUGCUACUCUAUAAGUACUAACUUGAGAAGAUUACCUUUUUAGUCUCACAUUUCUAAUCAAUUUAUUACUCUUUCCUAGAAUUAAUGAAGCAUUUUAAUUAUUAAUCUAAAAACUUCCAUCCAAACUGUUAACCUGAAAGGAAAUACUACCAAGAAAACCCCAAGAGAUAUGUGAGGAAAGAGAAAACAAUGAAUGUUUUUUACAUUAAAAGGAUACUAUCAUCAUCUAAAUAAACAUCUAUCUGGUUCUCACUGGGCACCUGAAUUAAUGAUGCCAUGCAUAAAAGAUAAAAUUUAACUAGCAACAUCUUCUUAAUAAAAACCAAAGCAGACUAAUGCAGAAGGGGGAAAAAAAAUGCUAAAUUACAAUGAACUGAUACGCUCAAUUUUUUUAAAAAACCAAGAUGUUCCAAUUCAUUUGUUUCUUAAAAUUUUUCACCCUAUAACAACAAAUAGAAAUAAUCUCUGGAGUUCCUGUCGUGGUGCAGCGGAAAUGAAUCAGAUUAGGAACCAUGAGGUUGCGUGUUCAACCCCUGGCCUUGCUCACUGGGUUAAGGAUCCAGCGUUGCCAUGAGCUGUGGUGUAGGCCGGCAGCUACAGCUCUGAUUAGACCCCUAGUCUGCAAACCUCCAUAGGCCGUAGGUGCAGCUCUAAAAAGACAAAAGAUAAAAAAAAAAAAAAAAAAAAAAAAAAAAAAAAA